UGCCAGCCCAAGCGAGAUUUCCUCCAGUCCGCGGCUAUGCGGAUUCUCCAUCUGCAAACAUUCCCUCUUUGUGAAAACGGGUGGUUUCAUAGCCAGCGGCGGGCGGGUUCAGGGCUCCCUGAUUCGACCAGGUUAACAGCCCCAAUCCAGGAAGUAAUAUUCUAUAAAGUCCAGCUGGCUGACCUUGAUACAAUCAUUACAUAUUGGAUGUGAGGCAAACAGUAAACAGAACGUCAACUCUGCUGCUCCUCGGAUGCUGUCUGACCUUCUGUGCUUUUCCAGCGCCACACUUUCCGACUCGGACUCUCCAGCAUCUGCAGUCCUCACUUUCUCCUAGUAAAUAGGAACAAUAAAGUGAUUUGGUAGAUACCUAAAUAAAUGUGUUCCAAAACUUUCUGCACACCUAGCCCAGGUGUUCCAGGACAAAUACACUGGCAUCUACCCAACAACAUGGAAAAUUGCCUAGUUAUGUUUGUAAAGCAGGGUAAAUCCAACCCAGCCAAUUACUCCACUUUGGUCAACU
Molecule: non-coding RNA, 523 nt
Organism: Chiloscyllium plagiosum (whitespotted bambooshark)
Lineage: Eukaryota; Metazoa; Chordata; Chondrichthyes; Orectolobiformes; Hemiscylliidae
Source: RefSeq, a predicted model, not a curated record